RNAcentral lists this unclassified non-coding RNA (381 nucleotides) under soil metagenome. RNAcentral describes it as "partial contains 5.8S ribosomal RNA, internal transcribed spacer 2, and large subunit ribosomal RNA". The stretch from base 1 to 120 matches the Rfam family "5.8S ribosomal RNA", at positions 35 to 154 of the family's 154-position model. The record is from RNAcentral.
GAUGAAGAACGUAGUGAAAUGCGAUAAGUAAUGUGAAUUGCAGAAUUCAGUGAAUCAUCGAAUCUUUGAACGCACCUUGCACCCUUUGGCAUUCUGAAGGGUAUGCUCGUUUGAGUGUCAUUGUACUCUCACACUCCCGAUCUUUGCAUUGGGAGCAGUGGACUUGGGUUUGCUGCUUCACCGUCGCUUACCUCAAAUAGGUUAGUGCAACUCUUGGUUGGACAUAGUACGGCGUGAUAAGUGUUCUUCGCCGGUGCCUCGCAAAGAGGGUGGCCGAUCGGGAUGUUGUGCUCCAAACCGUCUUCGGACAAUCUCUGACGACUUGACCUCAAAUCGAGUAAGACUACCCGCUGAACUUAAGCAUAUUCAAUAAGCGGAGGA